AGUUUCAGCCACAACAACAACCAACGAUACUUCAACAAAACUACAAGCUCGUGCAGAUUGUUCUGCUCUGGACUACAUAAUGUUGGUUAUGCGUGUGGCUGAACUCCUCCUAAUUACUGUGAUUACUGUUCUUCUCAUCAGAGCUCGAGAGACUACCUGACAACAACACAGUGACCUACAGCAGCGUGAAAGCUUCCUCUUCUUCUGCUGGAGCCUCAGCUGAUCCCAGCGACCUCUACGCCACCGUCAACAAACCAAACAAAUAAGAGACCACAGUGUAGUUACAGCUCAUAU
Long non-coding RNA from Micropterus dolomieu (smallmouth bass), 294 nucleotides. RefSeq lists it as uncharacterized. The transcript has 3 exons. NCBI's taxonomy places the organism in Eukaryota, Metazoa, Chordata, Actinopteri, Centrarchiformes, Centrarchidae. The record is from RefSeq and is a predicted model, not a curated record.